GCACUUCAGAAGAAGGCUGCCUUGACAACACUCUGUACACUAUAUGAUGCCAAGGAAAUAAUUUGCUGAAGAACCCCUAAUACAUGCAGUCCUUGUUUUCUUUCUUUCGUUCUUUCUUUUUUUUUUUCCUAGGAUAUCUGCUAUGGACCUUCUGGCUGAUUUUUCUCUUGUAAGAUCCAGAGCGAUCAUUGCCUGUCGUGUACUCAAACUUGCUUUAUACAGAAGACAGCAGAAAGCCACAAAAUUGGAGCCUCAGUAAUUUCUUUACACCCACCAUUUGCCAGUGUUCUGGAUUGGAAACCAACUGCAACAGCUACUGAGAGUCUCAUUCCUCCUCCACGUGAACCUCCUUCCAGGGAACUGUGAAAAUUCCCACUUCCAUCUCCUUCGCAUACUGGGGUUUCAUGACCAUUAAAACCCGUUCCUGGAACCAUGGGAUGGCCCCACAGCAUGCUUUUGAUCCAGCUCAGAUGUGGGCUUCUCCGUGGGAUGAGUGCCCAGCAAGUCCAGCCAUCAAAACCUACCUAGACCCUAUGGAGCUGCAUGCUCUGACUCAUCCCUACUGAAAUGUCCCCACACCCUGCCCCAGGGCUGUGCAUUCCUGGGCACUGGUUGCCUGUGCCUCAUGAGGUCUUUCUACCAAACUCAUCACUUUGGCUUGGUUCUGCAUCACCACACUGAAACUGUGCAAACUGCAAGCCACCAAACUGUACCUGUGAGCCACCUCACGGGGCACAUGUCCCACAGUGGCUUGGCUGCUGGACCACUCAGGGUGGGAUGCGCAACACACUGCAA
Molecule: long non-coding RNA, 795 nt
Filed under: Gallus gallus (chicken)
Lineage: Eukaryota; Metazoa; Chordata; Aves; Galliformes; Phasianidae
Description: long non-coding RNA NONGGAT004584
Source: RNAcentral